AACAGGAUUAGAUACCCUGGUAGUCCACGCUGUAAACGAUGUCGAUUUGGAGGUUGUGCCCUUGAGGCGUGGCUUCCGGAGCUAACGCGUUAAAUCGACCGCCUGGGGAGUACGGCCGCAAGGUUAAAACUCAAAUGAAUUGACGGGGGCCCGCACAAGCGGUGGAGCAUGUGGUUUAAUUCGAUGCAACGCGAAGAACCUUACCUACUCUUGACAUCCAGAGAAUUUAGCAGAGAUGCUUUAGUGCCUUCGGGAACUCUGAGACAGGUGCUGCAUGGCUGUCGUCAGCUCGUGUUGUGAAAUGUUGGGUUAAGUCCCGCAACGAGCGCAACCCUUAUCCUUUGUUGCCAGCGCGUAAUGGCGGGAACUCAAAGGAGACUGCCGGUGAUAAACCGGAGGAAGGUGGGGAUGACGUCAAGUCAUCAUGGCCCUUACGAGUAGGGCUACACACGUGCUACAAUGGCGCAUACAAAGAGAAGCGACCUCGCGAGAGCAAGCGGACCUCAUAAAGUGCGUCGUAGUCCGGAUUGGAGUCUGCAACUCGACUCCAUGAAGUCGGAAUCGCUAGUAAUCGUAAAUCAGAAUGUUACGGUGAAUACGUUCCCGGGCCUUGUACACACCGCCCGUCACACCAUGGGAGUGGGUUGCAAAAGAAGUAGAUAGCUUAACCUUCGGGAGGGCGUUUACCACUUUGUGAUUCAUGACUGGGGUGAAGUCGUAACAAGGUAACCGUAGGGGAACCUGCGGCUGGAUCACCUCCUU
Molecule: ribosomal RNA, 762 nt
Filed under: uncultured bacterium
Lineage: Bacteria
Description: bacterial SSU rRNA
Rfam family: Bacterial small subunit ribosomal RNA
Source: RNAcentral